RNAcentral lists this non-coding RNA (31 nucleotides) under Rattus norvegicus (Norway rat). Lineage: Eukaryota; Metazoa; Chordata; Mammalia; Rodentia; Muridae. The record is from RNAcentral.
UCUCGGCACUUGAUCUACAGCAAGGCAUCGU